This 434-nucleotide ribosomal RNA is filed under the name uncultured bacterium. RNAcentral's name for it is "partial 16S ribosomal RNA". It matches the Rfam family "Bacterial small subunit ribosomal RNA", at positions 29 to 507 of the family's 1533-position model. The record is from RNAcentral.
AGCGAACGCUGGCGGCAGGCCUAACACAUGCAAGUCGAACGAACCUUUCGGGGUUAGUGGCGGACGGGUGAGUAACACGUGGGAACGUGCCUUUAGGUUCGGAAUAACUCAGGGAAACUUGUGCUAAUACCGAAUGUGCCCUUCGGGGGAAAGAUCUAUCGCCUUUAGAGCGGCCCGCGUCUGAUUAGCUAGUUGGUUGAGGUAAUGGCUCACCAAGGCGACGAUCAGUAGCUGGUCUGAGAGGAUGAUCAGCCACAUUGGGACUGAGACACGGCCCAAACUCCUACGGGAGGCAGCAGUGGGGAAUCUUGCGCAAUGGGCGAAAGCCUGACGCAGCCAGGCCGCGUGAAUGAUGAAGGUCUUAGGAUUGUAAAAUUCUUUCACCGGGGACGAUAAUGACGGUACCCGGAGAAGAAGCCCCGGCUAACUUCGUG